CAGCAGCCACGGGAAUACGUAGGUGGCAAGCGUUGUCCGGAAUUAUUGGGCGUAAAGGGCUCGCAGGCGGCUUCUUAAGUCUGAUGUGAAAGCCCCCGGCUCAACCGGGGAGGGUCAUCGGAAACUGGGAAACUUGAGUGCAGAAGAGGAGAGUGGAAUUCCACGUGUAGCGGUGAAAUGCGUAGAGAUGUGGAGGAACACCAGUGGCGAAGGCGACUCUCUGGUCUGUAACUGACGCUGAGGAGCGAAAGCGUGGGGAGCGAACAGGAUUAGAUACCCCAGUAGUCCCUGUCUCUUAUAU
RNAcentral lists this ribosomal RNA (301 nucleotides) under uncultured bacterium. RNAcentral's name for it is "partial 16S ribosomal RNA". It matches the Rfam family "Bacterial small subunit ribosomal RNA", at positions 509 to 809 of the family's 1533-position model. The record is from RNAcentral.